UACGUAGGGCUCGAGCGUUGUCCGGAUUUAUUGGGCGUAAAGAGCUCGUAGGCGGUUCAACAAGUCGGUCGUGAAAGUUCAGGGCUCAACCCUGAAAUGUCGAUCGAUACUGUUGUGACUAGGAUACGGUAGAGGUGAGUGGAAUUCCGAGUGUAGCGGUGAAAUGCGUAGAUAUUCGGAGGAACACCAAUUGCGAAGGCAGCUCACUGGGCCGCUAUCGACGCUGAGGAGCGAAAGCUAGGGGAGCAAACAGGAUUAGAUACCCUGGUAGUCCUAGCUGUAAACGAUGGAUACUAGACGUAGGAACUGGAUUGACGGUUUCUGUGUCGUAGCUAACGCGUUAAGUAUCCCGCCUGGGGAGUACGGUCGCAAGACUAAAACUCAAAGGAAUUGACGGGACCCCGCACAAGCGGCGGAGCAUGCGGCUUAAUUCGAUGAUACCCGUAGAACCUUACCUGGACUUGACAUAUAGGGUCUAGCUAUAGAGAUAUAGUGUGCAUUAGCGCCCUAUACAGGUGGUGCAUGGCCGUCGUCAGCUCGUGUCGUGAGAUGUUGGGUUAAGUCCCGCAACGAGCGCAACCCCUAUCCUAUGUUGCCAGCAUUUAGUUGGGGACUCAUAGGAGACUGCCGGUGAUAAACCGGAGGAAGGUGGGGACGACGUCAAGUCAUCAUGCCCCUUAUGUCCAGGGCUGCACGCAUGCUACAAUGGCAAGUACAACGAGUCGCAAUACCGCGAGGUGGAGCAAAUCUCUUAAAGCUUGUCUCAGUUCGGAUAGGAGUCUGCAACUCGACUCCUUGAAGUUGGAGUCGCUAGUAAUCGCAAAUCAGCAAAGUUGCGGUGAAUACGUUCUCGGGGUU
RNAcentral lists this ribosomal RNA (858 nucleotides) under uncultured bacterium. RNAcentral describes it as "SSU rRNA". It matches the Rfam family "Bacterial small subunit ribosomal RNA", at positions 524 to 1381 of the family's 1533-position model. The record is from RNAcentral.